Molecule: transfer RNA, 64 nt
Filed under: Ochthebius lederi
Lineage: Eukaryota; Metazoa; Arthropoda; Insecta; Coleoptera; Hydraenidae
Description: tRNA-His
Source: RNAcentral
AUUUAAAUAGUUUAUAUAAAAUAUUGAUUUGUGGAGUCAAAGAAAUAAAAUAUUAUUUUAGAUA